Molecule: ribosomal RNA, 427 nt
Filed under: uncultured bacterium
Lineage: Bacteria
Description: bacterial SSU rRNA
Rfam family: Bacterial small subunit ribosomal RNA
Source: RNAcentral
UGGGGAAUAUUGCACAAUGGGCGCAAGCCUGAUGCAGCAAUGCCGCGUGCGUGAAGAAGGCCUUCGGGUUGUAAAGUACUUUCAGAGGGGAGGAAGGGCUACUAGUUAAUACGGAGUGCCAAUGACGUUACUCUCAGAAGAAGCACCGGCUAACUCCGUGCCAGCAGCCGCGGUAAUACGGAGGGUGCAAGCGUUAAUCGGAAUUACUGGGCGUAAAGCGCACGCAGGCGGUUUGAUAAGUCAGAUGUGAAAUCCCCGGGCUCAACCUGGGAACUGCAUUUGAGACUGGAAAGCUAGAGUCUUGUAGAGGGGGAUGGAAUUCCAGGUGUAGCGGUGAAAUGCGUAGAGAUCUGGAGGAAUACCGGAGGCGAAGGCGGCCCCCUGGACAUGGACUGACGCUCAGGUGCGAAAGCGUGGGGAGCAAACA